UACGGAGGGUGCAAGCGUUAUCCGGAUUCACUGGGUUUAAAGGGUGCGUAGGCGGGCAGGUCAGUCAGAGGUGAAAUCUCCGGGCUUAACCCGGAAACUGCCUUUGAUACUAUCUGUCUUGAAUAUGGUGGAGGUAAGCGGAAUAUGUCAUGUAGCGGUGAAAUGCUUAGAGAUGACAUAGAACACCUAUUGCGAAGGCAGCUUACUACGCCUAUAUUGACGCUGAGGCACGAAAGCGUGGGGAUCAAACAGG
RNAcentral lists this ribosomal RNA (253 nucleotides) under uncultured bacterium. RNAcentral's name for it is "partial 16S ribosomal RNA". It matches the Rfam family "Bacterial small subunit ribosomal RNA", at positions 524 to 776 of the family's 1533-position model. The record is from RNAcentral.